RNAcentral lists this ribosomal RNA (380 nucleotides) under uncultured eukaryote. RNAcentral describes it as "partial 18S ribosomal RNA". It matches the Rfam family "Eukaryotic small subunit ribosomal RNA", at positions 592 to 976 of the family's 1831-position model. The record is from RNAcentral.
CAAUAGCGUAUAUUAAUGUUGUUGCAGUUAAAAAGCUCGUAGUUGGAUUUCUGGUGGGAGCGGCCGGUCCGCCGUAAGGUGUGUACUUGGUUGUCUCCUGUCAUCCUUGUGGGAACUGCUCUGGCAUUAAGUUGUCGGGGUUAGGGAACACAUCGUUUACUGUGAAAAAAUUAGAGUGUUUAAAGCAGGCUUAUGCCGUUGAAUACAUUAGCAUGGAAUAAUAAGAUAGGACUUUGGCGUCUAUUUUGUUGGUUUGCACACCAAGGUAAUGAUUAAUAGGGAUAGUUGGGGGUAUUCGUAUUUAAUCGUCAGAGGUGAAAUUCUUGGAUUUAUGAAAGACGAACUUCUGCGAAAGCAUUUACCAAAGAUGUUUUCAUUAA